ACACGUUGCAACGUGUAUAAAUAGCCCUUUAGGUUGCAAGCGUCCCGCCCAUGUGGCGGGGGUAGGG
Molecule: ribozyme, 67 nt
Filed under: unclassified sequences
Also listed under: 1 other name
Description: pistol ribozyme
Rfam family: Pistol ribozyme
Source: RNAcentral